Long non-coding RNA from Cannabis sativa, 2191 nucleotides. RefSeq lists it as uncharacterized. Lineage: Eukaryota; Viridiplantae; Streptophyta; Magnoliopsida; Rosales; Cannabaceae. The transcript is spliced from 3 exons. The record is from RefSeq and is a predicted model, not a curated record.
UGCGUCGGUCAACGCUACUGUUCACAUGGUUGACCGACGUGAAUAGUGUACAAAAAAUAAAGCUGACAGUUUUAAAACGACGCUAAAAAAUAUUAAUUAGCGUCAUUUAGUAAAAUGACGCUACAAAAGAAACUGACGAAAAUUAAAACAAGAAAAAAUUAAAAUAGGAAACCUUAUUCUCGUCGGUUCAAAGAUAUAGAAUAAAAGUUGUGUGAGCUACGCAAAAGUGAAAUCCUAAGGUUAAUAACUGACGAAAAAUAUAUAUUUAAAUCCCUAAAUAGCCAAAUAUCAAUCCCAUUGUUCAUAUAAUCAUCUUCAACCUUUGCGAAGACGACUCUGAUGAUUUGGGCAUCUUCAAUCCUCCAUUGUCGACCGCUCUCGAUCUCAAAACCUCUCUUUCCUCAAAUCUAACUGUUUAUCAGGUAUCUCUAUCUCACACACACAUAUACAUACAUAUAUAUAUAUAUUUAAAUAUUUCAUUUCCUUUACACUACUGGUCGUAGUUGUUGCCUCUUUUUAUUUUUUGGGUAUGAUUUUUAGUAGUAACAUUUUAGUGAUAGUUCCAGCAAAAGAAAAAAAAAAUAAUUGAGUUAAGAGCUUCAAGAUGAUAGAUUUUAAUGGAGGGUUCGGGCUUCGUAGCAAUAGAGUUUGGUAGACUACAAGAUUUGCAACAGAGUUUGGUAGACUACAAAAUUUAUUGAAGGGUCUUUGAAUGAGGGAAGGGUAUAUUAAUUAUUUUACUUAUGCUUUAAGGGUUUUUUUUUGUCUUUUGUAUUAGAUUUUUGUGUAUAUAUAUUAUUACUUUAUAAAUGUAAAUCAAGCUCUUUCAAAACACCCAUUGUCAAAAGACUCUGUUCAACUAAAUCAUUCAUCACAACCAUUUGAAGAUUUCUAAGGUUUCACUCUCAAAGUUUUCAUUCUUUGACAGGUUCUUCUAUCUUAAUUUACUUUUCUUUCUUAUAUUGCUAUUUGUGUCAUGCCACACCCAUUGAAUUUAAUUAUAAUAAUUUGAUAAAAAUAUGUCAGUGUGUACAUAUUUGAAAGAUGAAAUCAUGUUGGGGUUCAUUAUAGUUGGAGAGGUAUUAAUCUUUAUUUUUGAGCUUCUUCCUGUGCACCCUCUAAUCCCUCUCUUCUCUUCACGAUAGUUUGUUUCUUUUUGUUUUUCUUUUCAAUUUUAAUCAUUUUUUUAGUAUUAUCAUUUGAAGCAAAUCAAAAUGGACAUACAGUUGUGCUUUUGUGUGUUUGUUAUAGAUCUGAAAUAAGUACUGUUCACAACAGAUUUUUGUUUUUUUAAGCUACGAAAAGAGUAUAUAUAGUUAUACAUAUGAAAAAAUUUACAAGAUAAUAUUAAUGUGUUUUUGAAGAAACAAUCUAAAGGAAAAGGCCAAGUUAUUUUAUUGCUUGCAUUCAUUGAUUUAAGGUUGGUUGAAAUCUAAGAGGUCUCUGGAAGUUAUCUUACUCACUUCAGAAGAACCUACAUGCUUUGGAAUCAGCUGCUUGGGAAGAUUAGUAAUAAACAUCACUUCUUUCUUUUCUUGUACUAAAUAGAUGUCAGUACCAUUGUUUUUGUCAUUACUCUUCUGAAAAUUUUCAUUACUAGAUCCAACAUGUUUAACUAUAAGAUUACAAUGAAUUACAGCAAUCAUUGAUUCAUUAGGUCUAUCCCCUACAGAUCUUCUUAUGCGAAGAGAGGUCUGUAACCAGCUCAUAAAUCUCGAAUACGAUUGUUCAAUUUGUAAAUCUAAGUGGAGAAGCUCAUCUAGUAUCCCUGUAGGUUUUUCUUUUCCUAAUAUCAUAUGUACAUAUUUUUUUGCAGCAAAAGAUAACUGUGAGUGUGCGGAUGAGCUGUUGCAAAUGCAGGACCAAAGCCAUGAAGAUUGUUGCAGUUGAAUCAGACACUCCCUAUAGUAACUAGGAGAUCAAUGCAGUACAGGAUGAGUGGACCGAAUUUGUGGAGCCUUUGAUUAUAGAUUAAGUACAAGGUUACUACUUUUGUUAUAAUACAUGAGUAACAAGUUUUAUGAUUAUUGUUAUAUUUUGCAUAUGUAAUUAGUUUAUAUUUAGUUUACGAUAUACAUGGAAUUUAAGUUUUAGGAUCGAUUUUAUUAACAAUUUUAGUAUUAUGUGAUUAGUUAAUAGAAUCGAUUACUAAUUUUAUGUAAGUUUUAUAAAUGUUAUUUUAAUUUUUUUU